This 254-nucleotide ribosomal RNA is filed under the name uncultured bacterium. RNAcentral's name for it is "partial 16S ribosomal RNA". It matches the Rfam family "Bacterial small subunit ribosomal RNA", at positions 524 to 776 of the family's 1533-position model. The record is from RNAcentral.
CACGAAGGGGGGCUAGCGUUGCUCGGAAUCACUGGGCUUAAAGGGUGCGUAGGCGGCCAUGUAAGUGGGGUGUGAAAUCCCUCGGCUCAACCGAGGAACUGCGCUCCAUACUGCAUGGCUUGAGGGAGACAGGGGUAAGCGGAACUGAUGGUGGAGCGGUGAAAUGCGUUGAUAUCAUCAGGAACACCGGUGGCGAAAGCGGCUUACUGGGUCUCUUCUGACGCUGAGGUACGAAAGCUAGGGGAGCGAACGGG